This 466-nucleotide ribosomal RNA is filed under the name uncultured bacterium. Its description in RNAcentral is "bacterial SSU rRNA". It matches the Rfam family "Bacterial small subunit ribosomal RNA", at positions 331 to 794 of the family's 1533-position model. The record is from RNAcentral.
CCAGACUCCUACGGGAGGCAGCAGUGAGGAAUAUUGGUCAAUGGGCUUACGCCUGAACCAGCCAAGUCGCGUGAGGGAAGACUGCCCUAUGGGUUGUAAACCUCUUUUGUCAGGGAGCAAUUGGCGCUACGUGUAGCUUUAUCGAGAGUACCCGAAGAAAAAGCAUCGGCUAACUCCGUGCCAGCAGCCGCGGUAAUACGGAGGAUGCGAGCGUUAUCCGGAUUUAUUGGGUUUAAAGGGUGCGCAGGCGGAAGAUCAAGUCAGGGGUAAAAUGGGGAGGCCCACCCUCUUCGAGCCGUUGAAACUGGUUUUCUUGAGUGAGCGAGAAGUAUGCGGAAUGCGUGGUGUAGCGGUGAAAUGCAUAGAUAUCACGCAGAACUCCGAUUGCGAAGGCAGCAUACCGGCGCUCAACUGACGCUCAUGCACGAAAGUGUGGGUAUCGAACAGGAUUAGAUACCCUUGUACA